RNAcentral lists this transfer RNA (73 nucleotides) under Marmota monax (woodchuck). It matches the Rfam family "tRNA". Rfam says of the family: Transfer RNA (tRNA) molecules are approximately 80 nucleotides in length. Their secondary structure includes four short double-helical elements and three loops (D, anti-codon, and T loops). Further hydrogen bonds mediate the characteristic L-shaped molecular structure. tRNAs have two regions of fundamental functional importance: the anti-codon, which is responsible for specific mRNA codon recognition, and the 3' end, to which the tRNAs corresponding amino acid is attached (by aminoacyl-tRNA synthetases). tRNAs cope with the degeneracy of the genetic code in two manners: having more than one tRNA (with a specific anti-codon) for a particular amino acid; and 'wobble' base-pairing, i.e. permitting non-standard base-pairing at the 3rd anti-codon position. Lineage: Eukaryota; Metazoa; Chordata; Mammalia; Rodentia; Sciuridae. The record is from Rfam by way of RNAcentral.
UGGGAUAUAGCUCAGUCAAUAGAGUGCUUGCCUCCCAUGCACAAGGCCCUGGGUUCAAUCCCCAGCAUUUCAA